UACGUAGGGAGCAAGCGUUGUUCGGAUUUACUGGGCGUAAAGGGCGCGUAGGCGGCGCGGUAAGUCACUUGUGAAAUCUCUGAGCUUAACUCAGAACGGCCAAGUGAUACUGCAGUGCUAGAGUGCAGAAGGGGCAAUCGGAAUUCUUGGUGUAGCGGUGAAAUGCGUAGAUAUCAAGAGGAACACCUGAGGUGAAGACGGGUUGCUAGGCUGACACUGACGCUGAGGCGCGAAAGCGUGGGUAGCAAACGGG
RNAcentral lists this ribosomal RNA (253 nucleotides) under uncultured bacterium. Its description in RNAcentral is "partial 16S ribosomal RNA". It matches the Rfam family "Bacterial small subunit ribosomal RNA", at positions 524 to 776 of the family's 1533-position model. The record is from RNAcentral.